This 232-nucleotide ribosomal RNA is filed under the name uncultured bacterium. Its description in RNAcentral is "partial 16S ribosomal RNA". It matches the Rfam family "Bacterial small subunit ribosomal RNA", at positions 118 to 350 of the family's 1533-position model. The record is from RNAcentral.
UGAGCAACCUGCCCUACGCUUUGGGAUAACCCUCGGAAACGGGGGCUAAUACCGAAUAUUCAUUGCCUGUCGCAUGGUGGGUGGUGGAAAGUUUUUCGGCGUGGGAUGGGCUCGCGGCCUAUCAGCUUGUUGGUGGGGUAAUGGCCUACCAAGGCGACGACGGGUAGCCGGCCUGAGAGGGCGACCGGCCACACUGGGACUGAGACACGGCCCAGACUCCGUACGGGAGGCA